UCCCUGGUGGCUAAGAUGGUAAAGCAUCUGCCCCCAAUGCAGGAGACCUGGGUUCAAUCCCCAGGUCAGGAAG
Molecule: non-coding RNA, 73 nt
Organism: Budorcas taxicolor (takin)
Lineage: Eukaryota; Metazoa; Chordata; Mammalia; Artiodactyla; Bovidae
Source: the annotation of a RefSeq genome assembly